Sarcophilus harrisii (Tasmanian devil) is the source of this 905-nucleotide long non-coding RNA. RefSeq lists it as uncharacterized. NCBI's taxonomy places the organism in Eukaryota, Metazoa, Chordata, Mammalia, Dasyuromorphia, Dasyuridae. The record is from RefSeq and is a predicted model, not a curated record. The transcript is spliced from 3 exons.
CCAACCUGUUUGGCUGGUUCUUCACAGAAUGUGGGUUCCCCAUGGUCAUUGCAUUUGCAGACUGUGAUGACAAGGGUGGUGGUACCUGUAAGACUGGGUUUCCCAUUGUCAGAAAUUACUACAGGAAGAUAGUGAACCUUGGCUCUCUCACGAUCAAAUUGACCAUAUUUCACCGUGAUGUUGGCUGAAUUGUCUGAAAGAUGGAGCAGCAUUGUGACCAUAUUGGUCAUGGUUCUGACAGAUUUAGACCUGGAUCCUCAGACUCAUGGGAAAUGAAAAUUAUAGGGACAAAUGUCAAGCUAGGGGAAAAUGAAGAAGGUGACUUGGAGAUGAUGGCACCUGAGCUGAGCCUUGAAGACCAGUGCAUCCUAUUGUUUAGAAAGUCCAUGCAGUGAAUUAGAUGUGAUCUAACUUUCAGUGAUCAUCUGCUUUGUGGAACUAAUGGGCCCACCCUGGCUGGCUGCAAAAACAGAUGAGAAAGUCCUUUUCCAUGUGAUAUGAGUCACACAUGACACUAAUUGAUUCUACCUUAUCCUGCUGUGCCCCCCCUCACUUCUUCCUUAGUUUUGGUAACAGUGAAGGAACUGAGAGAAAGAAUUUGACCAUUGGGCCUUUUGUUGGACGGGAGUCAAGGUCUCCUGAGGAGGAAACAGCCAUAGUAAUAAUAAAUGUAAUAAUUAGAUUAGCAAAAGUUCAAUAUGAGUUAACAGCAUGAUAUUACCCACAUCUCACCUCUCCCCUCCAAAAAACCCUAUGAGCCUAAGGUUUAGAGACAGUGUCCAGCAUAAGGGAAGUUACAACUUAAUGUAUUUUGUCUCAAAUAGAUCUAUAUUGAAAUAAUAUAUACUCUUCUAGAUGCCUCACAAAGGUGCUCACAAUGGAUAGAGUACUGGAUCUGGAAUUAA